This 406-nucleotide long non-coding RNA is filed under the name Felis catus (domestic cat). Its description in RNAcentral is "lncRNA (ENSFCAG00000045167.2)". The record is from RNAcentral. Lineage: Eukaryota; Metazoa; Chordata; Mammalia; Carnivora; Felidae.
AUGUCAGAAUUACAACCUGAGGUUACAGCACUGUGACACUUUCAAGCUCUUCAAGGUUUGUCAAGCACAGUUAAUUAUAUUUACUAGAAGUCUCUCACCUCUCAUACUCAUGCACCUUAAUCAUACACACAGUGGAAAUCUAUAAAGACCUUAGAAUAAAAGGAGCGCGUUUAAACACUGCCUUUAGAACACAAAGAUGUAUCUGUGAUUUUGAAAAUAAGGCAUGCAGUGGACCUGAGGACGGAAUGUAAUGAUGCUCAUCGGUACAUAAUGAAGCACAUUUGAAGAGCUGACAUCCUGAGUUGUUAUGGAGGAGGUGUCCAAUAAGGUAAGUUCCAGAGAAGAAAACAAAACACAUGGCUUAUUCUUAAUUAUUUAUAAUAUAUAAAGCAUUCGUAUAUCUACA